This 253-nucleotide ribosomal RNA is filed under the name uncultured bacterium. Its description in RNAcentral is "partial 16S ribosomal RNA". It matches the Rfam family "Bacterial small subunit ribosomal RNA", at positions 524 to 776 of the family's 1533-position model. The record is from RNAcentral.
UACGUAUGGUGCAAGCGUUAUCCAGAUUUACUGGGUGUAAAGGGAGCGUAGGCGGCGCGUUAAGUCUGAUGUGAAAACCCGAGGCUCAACCACGGGAGUGCAUUGGAAACUGGCGGGCUGGAGUGCCGGAGAGGUAAGCGGAAUUCCUAGUGUAGCGGUGAAAUGCGUAGAUAUUAGGAGGAACACCAGUGGCGAAGGCGGCUUACUGGACGGCAACUGACGCUGAGGCUCGAAAGCGUGGGGAGCAAACAGG